CCUCCCCUUCCUGCGGCGGGGUCAUAACAGCUUGUUUAUAUACUCCUGAGCCGGUUUGCUGCAACAGAUUGUGACUUUAAAUAGAAGGUUGCUAAGAGUGAGGUCACCACGGUGCCAAACUCGAACCCGAAUUCCUUGUGAAUGAAAAAUAAAAACGCUCUAGAGCCAGGCUGUCUGCGUGCUGCUUCGCUUCGGGUUGUUGGGGUGCGCUGACCACAGCAGCAUCCUCCAGGUAAGUACAGCUUUUAGCUGCUUGGGCUGCAGGUAACCCCCCCUGUGCACCCAAAAGCCGCUGCGUGGCAGACGGCAAUUUUCUUUGCUUGCAAAAAGGACGAGGUCAGAGCGUCCUGUCGCCGGAACUGGUAUAAACCAAGAGUAAUUGGACUGGAAUUGGUGGUUACAGUGAUGUAAGAAGUGGUGUAAGGCAGAGGUGAAGCCAUAUCCUAAUAACGCCUUCUGCCUGCUCGCUGAAUUCUGCAGAGAGAUCAGCACUUCCAGCAACAAAAGAAAGUAGGUCAGUGCCAGGUCCCCCUCCCCGCCUGCGCGCUGGAAGCACAUGUGUUGGAUUACACGCCUGCAGAUUGAAGCAGGAGCUCCUGGGAUGGGGUUUUCUUCCCCUUUGGGAUGGUGCACGUAAAAGCAAUUUGGUGCUUUACGGUGUGCUGGUGCGGUUGCUCUCGCCGUGCGGUUUCUCUUGGAGCUGCUGCAUCCCCGACGCCUGGGGAGCUGGGGGACCUGUUUGCAUGUCGAUAUUGCAGGGGUGGAGCUGCCCUGGUUCCCCGUAGCCCGUCUGUGGUUCAGGGAAGGUGUGAAGCACCAGGACGUGCUCCCAGCUCCUGCCCAUCCCUGAUACCCUGAUCCCGAGCCCGCCCUUGCCUUGCUGCAGCCAUGAAACUCCAGUUCGACUUGAACGAUUACCCGACACGUUAAUUGGGACUCCUGCUAUGAUUAAAAAGAAAUUUCAGAUUAAACCCGCCACGCUGUAUGGCUCAGGAAGAAAACAUCUCUUUAUAAACCCAGCAGGAAUGUGGGGACUCCAUUAUUAUUAUUUUCUUUUAACUUUGAAGAAACUGGCUCUCGCUGCUGUUUUGACCACAAGGAGACAAGUGCGGCAGUCACUCUGCUAUGGUCAAAGCCGAGCGGAAGGGAGAUAAAAUUGCAGGGUGUUUUUCCUUCUUUUUUUUUUUUUCUCUUUAAUGUGAUAAUCAUAAUGGAUUUAUCUCUGUAGACUUCAGGUCCUGUCUAUGUGGGUCUCCACAGGCUCCUCCACCACUCUUGGGCAAGAGCUCAGAGGAACUUGUAGGUUGUACAAACCAGGUGGGUGGGCAAGCACGGUCCCAGCUCCGAGGAGAAGAAUACGGUGUUUGACACACUUAAUUAUAUCCACAACAUUCUCAGUGCUGUAGUUGGGCAGCUUUGAGAGUGUCUUCAGCUUGCCGUGUCCCCGGGGGAAGGUCCCCAGGUGAGCAUCGUUGGUUGUUGGUGCUGUUUCCUUAAUUGGAAGGACGUUGAUGGCCACGUGAAGUGUUUUGAGACUAACGGCGACCUCUUAAACUCACGUAUUUGCUCUGUUUACUGUGGAGUUGGAAGGCUGUCAUGGAGUUUGCAGCCAAAACUCAGCCCUCCUCCACCAAACGCUGCCCGCUGAGGGAGGCUAUGACAUCGGAGGGGGGCUUUUCCUCAAACGAAGCUUCCUGCCUGCAGCCUUUUAGGUCGGACCUGCUGCAAAUCCCCCCUGCGCUGGGGGGCCACGGGGAGCAUCUCCCUGCCCAUCACCCAGCAGGAGCCCAGCUCCAGCCCUUCCACCACACCAGGAGAUAACCGUGGACGUUCAAUAGCCGGAGCAGAAAGCGCUGCAGGGCUGCGGCAGCUUGGCCCUGCCUUUGCUCCAUGCUGGACUCGCCGAGUCGAUAGGCAAGGGCAGCGCUAGAUUAUCCCCCGCUCCCUCCCCUCCUUUUUUUUUUUUAUUCCCCUUUAAACUUUUCUCGUGUUCCAGCUGAAGCAGCAUGAGGUGAGUAAACUCCACUGCUCAAAAUAAGAGUGGAUAAGCUCAGUUUACUUGCAUUUAUUCAUGACUUCACCACUCCACUGGGGCCUGAAAAUCAGAGCCAAAAGGAACUGCAGUGAAAAUUGGCCUACAUGUGAUGGCUUUAAAUAAUCUGCCCUUUUGCUCUAGUUCUGUGUUGAGAUGUGCUGGAAGCCUGAGGAGCUGGGAUCUGUCUUGAUGUAGAAGCUGCUUUUUGUUUUCUUGCCCUGACGUUUGAAGCUGCUGUUGCUUUUGCUCUAUUUGGUGGUAACUUGGGGGAACGUCUGCGGCGAGGGGGGAGAAAAUAUCUAUUCGAGAAUCACUUUAUUUAGUGCGUGACUUGAAACGAACAGAAUCGGCACAACGAAUUAGCUUUUAUUCCCAAAGAUGUGAAAAUUAAGGAAGAGAGAAAAUAGAAAUAAAUUGAUGAGCGCGUGUCGCAGAUAUCGACACCCAGGGACAGGGUAUUAUUUUGGGCUAAAAACCAGUUCUGCUGGAAGAAUGGUUCACGUUAAUAGUGAAUUCUUGUUAGCGCUUGCAUUUGGGCAGCCUGUUAAGGCACAUACGGUUCCCAGCUGACGCGCAGUACAUGCAUGUGCCUGACACUUGCACCAGUCGAGGAAGAAGUCACGCAAACCAUCGGAGAGCCGAGCGUGCUGGGUGAGGCUCGGCUACAGCAUCCGAGCAGAAAUAGAACUGGAGCCAUCCGCAAACCAGGUCAGCGCUGCUCUUGCGCUUUUUCUCUUGGGCCCCUUUGAAUCACAUCAUGAUUUCUUUCCCCCCUCUGCCCCAGCUCCCUGCAGCUGGGAUUGCUUUUCACAUACUCUGCUCACAUAAUUGCCUCUAAUGAUUUCUCAGCUGGUUUUCCUUCGUUCUUAACUCAAAUAUGACUGCCUUUUCUCCCUUUUUCCCCCUUUACAAGGCUACACGCACCCGCUCCAGCAUUCACAGAUGCUCCCCUUCUGCUGCUCUCCCAUAUGCUUGCCUUGUCUCUCAUUAUUUUCAUCUGGAGAGUCCCCAUCUCCCUUCACGGAGCUGCACCCAGGUGAUGCCAGAGCCUCCUUAGCCUUGUGCUGCGCAGCUCACGCCUCCAGAUGUCCUUGGCUGGUCCCAGCGCUGCUUCCCACCCACGGUGCCUGGGCACGGCGGAGAAGGGGCUCCUCCAAGCACCCAGGAUGAUGGAGCGUCAGAAAAGAUGCCGUAAGGCAGGGCUGCUCCGUGUCUCCAACUAUGUCUUUGCUAUCCGGAUGCUCGCACUAUAAUUUCAGGGCAGUGCUGCGCUGGCAGUGGUGCUCAGCGCAAGCAGAGAGGGGGAGGUUUGGAGGUUCCCCCUAUUUGCUGCGUGGAAAACCCUUCCAGGCUCCCAGCGAACUCGGUGGUUGGGGUCCUGCCGUGCCAGCUGAAGCACCAGCGAGUCACGGCAGGCUGUUAGCAUCCCGCGGUAUAUUUAGUUCAGGUUUUAACAAGGGCUCCGUAUGUGUGGGUUCUCUUGUUUCCUUUUGCUUUCUACGUGCUAAGUAGAUGCAGGAAGGAGUCGAGAACUCUUCCCGUGAUGGCAAGGAUGCGGUUUUGUGGCUCUGUAUGCUGUUUUCCGUUGCGGGGUUGGAGAAGGCAAGGCUCUGGGGAGACUUAGAGCAGCUUCCCGGACUGAAAGGGGCUCCAGGAAAGCUGGAGAGGGGCUCUGGAUCAGGGAGGGCAGGGAGAGGAUGGGUUUUCAGCUGCAAGAGGGGAUAUUGAGGUGAGAUCUUAGGCAGAAAUGUUUUGCUGUGAGGGUGGGGAGGCCCUGGCCCAGGGUGCCCAGAGCAGUGGUGGCUGCCCCAUCCCUGGAGGUGUUCCAGGCCAGGUUGGAUGGUUCUUGGAGCCCCUGAUCCAGCGGGAGGUGUCCCUGCCCAUGGCAGGGGUGGCACUGGAUGGGCUUUAAGGUCCCUUCCAACCCAAACCGUCCUUUGAUUCUAUGAAAAGCAUUGGCAUAAGAGCUGGAGAGCCGUGAGUGUCUCAGGGUCCCCUUCCAUCAUGAAUCCCUGACAACACGGUAAGGUCUUUCCAGCAGCAGGGAUUUUCCUCAGGGACACAGGACAGUGAAACGGUGCCUGCAGACAGCUGGCUCUGCGCUGCUGGGUCUUGUAUGUUUGGUCCUCAUCAGGAUCCACGCCAAAAGGGUCACUCUGCUUUUCCUUUCGAAUUAGUAUGGGUUUAAUUUUUCUAUUCCAGAAUGAACUUUAAUGCCCGAGUUUAAAAUAAUACAGGUGCUCUGCGUGCUCCCAGAAGGGUUAAACGGGGCUUAUCCUGAGGACAUGAGGGCAGCCCACCUUGAAGCGCUUCUUUAGAGAAGACCUGCGAGAAGCCAAAGACCUUUUGAUGACUGGGUAUUUAGCUGUAGAAAGAUUGACUGAGGGAAUAACUCUGAAAUCCUUUUCCAGGGAGAGCAAUUUCUAUGCGCUAUUGAGAAAUCAGGUCUGCGAGAAGUUUCACUAGGUCUGUAGGAAAAAGGAAAAAAAAAGAACCAAGUCACGCUGGUAGGCUUGAAGUGGAGGUGUUAAAUCUCAGCUGCGAGGUGGGGAAGGUGCAGCGCAAAGUCCUGCGCUGAGGAUGCUGCGAUACCUGCCCGCAGGAACCGGGGAGGGGAGGAAGGAAAACGGGUGCAGCUCAAAUUGAAGCAGACAAAAUCUCUCUCUGGGGAUGGCAACUCUUGCUGGGAGCGGGAUCUGCUUCUCUGGGAAAUAAAGUGCAUGGACGUGGGGAAGGAAUGGAAAUCUUUGUGGGCGAGUCAGCAAAUAGCCAAGAGUUUUGUUAUUCCCUAACAGCCUCAGAAACCCGCAGUCUGUCAUAGGAGCAAUUUUGUGUUUUAAUAGAAGUGUUUUGCUUUUGACCCCGUGUGGCACAACAGCCUCUGCAAAGCAGGAGGCAGCAGGUGCCUCCGUAAGCAUCAGCUGGAAGUACGAAACAGCCCCCAUCUCCCAGAGUUUCCCGGUACUGGCGAUGCCUUUCGCUCCCGAGCAAGAUCGAGGGUUGGGUUGCAAACCGCUGACUUCUGCUUGGACCCAGGUCGCUUUCCCCGGGCGAUGACUUGAGUCUUUUCAUCCGAAUGAGAUGUGUAACUUUAAACCCGUGAUCAGCAUCGCCCUUUAGCUGGAAAACACGGAAUUCAAAGCAUCUGGCGGGUACUGCAGUGUUUUGUUAGGCGAGCGCAAACAAACGGAGAGGAGAAAUGGAAAAGAGAAAGGAAAUUUUGAGUCGGUUUAGGAAGUCUUUGACGAAGCGGAUGGCAAACACCACCUGCCUGACCCUCUGUCUGCGGCGCAAGGGCUUGGGGAGGCGCGGGGAGCUGCCCGCGAAUCAAAUGCAUCAAGACGAUCACAUUUGUUUAUCGCUUGGGUUUGUGCCACUGUGGAGCUCUUUUGUUUCAUUUCUUCUAGCUGCGGUCCAACCCCCCCAAAAAAAAAAAGAGAUUUGUUGGAACAUAACUGUACCGUUCCCUUUGGUUCUUCUUUAAAUUCUCUUUAUUUCCAGAAGACAGCGAGCCGGGGUGGAGCUGGUGGUGGUAAUGUUCUGAAGCGGGAGGGAAAUAGCCUGGAGAUGUGCAGCGAGAGCAGGGGCACGCGCCCUGAAUAGGAGGGUUAACCAGGGCUUAUUCUGAGGGAAGCAGUAAUUGCAGCUUGUGUGAAGCAGUAAUAUUCUUUUGUGCAUUAUUUACCCGGGAACAUCUGCUAAUACAUAUACAUUCUCCGGUGCGUGUAAACAACUUGUGCGGGGAAGAGGAUUAGGAGAUGUAUAAAAAAAAUUAGAAGCGAGUUAAAAGGGCAAUUAGAAGAGCAGAAAGAGAUAUUGAGCAGUGAAUUAGGGAGGAUAUUUUAACACACAAUCAGAGCUUCCCGAGAUGUAUUCAGAGCAGAGAGAAGGUAAAAGAGAAAAUUGGCCAAUUACGAAAUGAUAGCGGGGAAUUGGUGACAUGGGAGAAGGUAAUGGCUGAUUUGUUAAACAGUUAUUUUGAUUCUGUUUUCACAAAGGAGGAAGAGGGUGGAGGGCAGCUCCGGAAAGGACUCGGGCUGGGCGGCCGAGGGUGAGGAUGAGCUUGCAGAGAGAGAAAGAUGUGCCUGCAGAGCGGUUGGGCGUAGGGAGAAUUUCACUCAUAGUCAAGGGGUGGGGGGAAAAAAAUGGAUUUUAGUGAGCAGUUCCUUGCGGCAACAAUCCCGGUAGCGAGGUCUUGCGUUAUAACACUUGCUUUUGUUCGCCUAAUUGGCUGCUUUUGAGUAGGGGCCAAGGACUGAGGUGGUCACGGAGAUGAAAGAUCCCUUCUCCUCUUUGAAGGCAAUUUCUCCGAGAGAGAGAGAGAGAGAAGAGGCUGGAGUGUAUUGGGAGACAGCGAGAUGGAUGGGGACUCUGGAGGGAUGCUGCUCCUGGGGCUGCUUUUAUGCGGGUAGAGAGGUGGUUUGGCUCGCCGGUGUGGCACCGUCCUGAGAACACACCGUGCAAAACGUCAGCACCGCUGCAGUCCUCUCCGUCCCGGUUUCAUAGUUGCUUUUUCCUUCCACCCGUAACCCACAAACUCCAACGCGGUCAGCGAUACAAGAGCAUCCCUGUAAUCCCUGUUCCCAUCAGCAUCGUCUGGCGUUGGCAGUCUCGUGUUUCACCCAAGCAUUUGUGAGCUCGAGGCUGCUGGAUGUGAUAAGGGAGAGGAGAGGGCUGGUGGAACAGAGGGAUGGUGUCAGCAUACAAGGCCUCAAGGAGAUAGAAAGCGAUGGAAAGGGAAACGUUCAUGGUCAUGCAGUGGGAUCUGGAGAAGCGUUCCCGGGCUGUGCGGUUGAAAUCAAGGCAGGGAGAGCAUCUGCAGAUGGAGGAUUUAGGGAAGGCUGAGCUUGAAGCAUCAUAAAAAGUGUUAUUUGGUUUAUGAGAAAUGUGAAGUGAUGCUUUUGUUGGGCUCGGUCCCUCUGAAGGGGGGGAGAAUGCGCUGCGGAACGAACUUCUGGGACAAAGGAAGUCAUUUGGAAAUGGUGCUGGGGGGCCACAAGUGUCACCCGGGAAGCGAUAGGGAAUACGGGAGGAAGUGCAGACUUGUGGUCUUGGUUUAGACUGAUAAACUAAAAAUUUAUUCUCAAUAUCCGAGAGGCAUUUGGUUUUCAUCCUGCUUGGGAGGAUAAAAGAGAUGCAGCGUCGUCUGGUUUGUGUUUUCAAAGCAUGUAUGAAAAGCACCGUAUUAGCAAUUACGGGAUGAAACUGUGGAAAAGUGGUACAAUGGAGAGAAAAUUGGCUCCGACUCAGGAAACGGGAUUCUGCCGCCGGGGGUGAAUUUCCAGAGGCGCAGUCUGGGGUCUCUUCUGGGUUCUCCGGCAUUUAUUUUUUUAAUUGAAAGGAUUUGCAUGAGCAGCCCAAAGUUAGAGCAUUAAAGCUCACUGAUGUAAAGAAAGAGAAGGCAGCUGCUGCAACAGGGACUUGUCUCAUCUGCCAGCGCCGUGCAUGGUGCGGGCGGCAGACCGGAGAACGCUAAAGGAACGGGAAACCGGUGAGCAAAUAAAUGCUCAAGUGACAUGUUUCCCAAGGGAGGCGUUCGGAGCUCGCAGCCGAGCUGCGGGGAGCUAUCGGCGGUGUCUAACCACGUCGGCAAUGGGCAGUCUGUCUGCCCGGCCCCCGGCGAGGGGAAUCGAUGCCCUUCCAAAGGCUGAGCUCGUGCAGUGAACUGCACCCCUUCAAGGCUGAUUCCUACUCCCUGGGAAGGCAAACGGUGGCGUGGCCAGGGGAGCCCAGGCAGAGCUGGGGAGCACGGAGGGGUUUAGGUUUAUAGAAUCACAGAAUCGUUUAGGUUGGAAAAGACUUUUAAGAUCAUUAAAUACAACCGUAAACCUAACGCAGCCAAGUUCACCCCUAAACCAUGUCCCUAAGCACCAUAUCUACACCUCUUUUAAACCCCUCCAGGGAUGGUGAGGCAGCCACUCGCCUGGGCAGCCUCUGCCAGUGCUUGAGAACCCUUUGGUGAAGAUGUUUUUCCUAAUAUCCAAUCUAAACCUGCCCUGGUACAACUUGAGACCAUUUUCUCUUGUCCUAUCACUUGUUUACCUGGGACCAGCACCCACUUUGCUACAACAUCCUUUCAGGCAGUUGCAGAGAGCGAUGAGCUCCCCCCUCAGUCUCCUUUUCUCCAGGCUGAACGACUCCAGCUGCUCCUCCUAACCCCUGUUCUCCAGCCCCUUCCCCAGCUCCGUUCCCUUCUCCGCACGCUCUACAGCCUCUCAAGGUCCUUCUUGUAGUGAGGAGCCCAAACUGAACCCAGGAUUCGAGGUGCAGCCUCACCAGCGCCGAGUCCGGGGGGACGAUUGCUGCCCUGCUCCUGCUGGCCACACCAUGGCUGAUCCGAGCCAGGAUACUGAUGGCCACCUGAGCCACUGCUGUUGACAGUUCAGAUGCUGUCAACCAGCACCCCAAGGUCCUUUUCUGACAAGCGGCUUUCCAGCCGCUCUUCCCUAAGCCAUGGGGUUGUUUUGACCUACAUCCAGGACCUGGUGCUGUGCUUUGUUGAGUCUGGUACGGUUGGUAUUAACCCAUCCAUCCACCCUGACCAAACGGGAGCACGUGGACCACUCCCCAGCGUUGCCUCAAAGGGGCUGUGGUGCUGACCACCACCCUGGGGGGUUCAGCCCUUCACCGCAGAGACCUCUCCGUCCAACCUUUGGUGUCUGGGAGUGGUUCUAACUCCAUCCUAGGUUUCUGUCUCCAGCCUGAGCCUUACUCGCUCUGGCUCGUCGUGGUUAUACCUGCGUCUCUUUGGCUGGAGAGCUGCUUGCUUUGAGCCUGCGCGAGCGCUGCUUCAGAGAAGAAGGGGAUUUAUGGCAGCCCUCAGAGCAACAUUCAAAAUGCAUGAAGACACGUCGCGUGAAGGGAUUGGGGAGAAGACGCACGAGAGUGAACCAGGGGCCGCGGCAGAGCUGAACCGUGCAGAUGGGAAGGCAGUUAUUGAGGCGAAGUGUCAGAGCGUGCCAUAAAGAUUUAGUUUAUCCUCAAAGAGCUGUGGCGGUGGAGGAAGGAUGGGCACGGGGAGGGGCAUCAGCUAAGGGGAAG
This is a long non-coding RNA of Cuculus canorus (common cuckoo), 9076 nucleotides long. RefSeq lists it as uncharacterized. The transcript has 3 exons. NCBI's taxonomy places the organism in Eukaryota, Metazoa, Chordata, Aves, Cuculiformes, Cuculidae. The record is from RefSeq and is a predicted model, not a curated record.